AUUGAACGCUGGCGGCAGGCUUAACACAUGCAAGUCGAGCGGUAACAGAGAGAAGCUUGCUUCUCUGCUGACGAGCGGCGGACGGGUGAGUAAUGCCUAGGAAUCUGCCUAGUAGUGGGGGAUAACUUGCCGAAAGGUAAGCUAAUACCGCAUACGUCCUACGGGAGAAAGGAGGGGACCUUCGGGCCUUUCGCUAUUAGAUGAGCCUAGGUCGGAUUAGUUAGUUGGUGAGGUAAUGGCUCACCAAGACCGCGAUCCGUAACUGGUCUGAGAGGAUGAUCAGUCACACUUGAACUGAGACACGGUCCAGAGUCCUACGGGAGGCAGCAGUGGGUAAUAUUGGACAAUGGGGGGAACCCUGAUCCAGCCAUGCCGCGUGUGUGAAGAAGGUCUUAGGAUUGUAAAGCACUUUAAGUUGGGAGGCAGAGCAGUUAACUAAUAUUUGACUGUUUUGACGUUACCGACAGAAUAAGCACCGGCUAACUUCGUGCCAGCAGCCGCGGUAA
Molecule: ribosomal RNA, 506 nt
Filed under: uncultured bacterium
Lineage: Bacteria
Description: partial 16S ribosomal RNA
Rfam family: Bacterial small subunit ribosomal RNA
Source: RNAcentral